CUUUUACGCCAACCCGGAAAAAUAAGAUGAAAUCUGAACACCCAUCAUCAUACGCGACCUGCGAUUGAUUAACGGCAGUGUAAAGGAUAAAUUAUUUUGCAAGAAAUCCAUAUACACCUCUCAAAAAUCUGGCGAAUUUCAAGUUGAUGUUUUUUCGAAGCGCUGCAUUCCUCGAGAUGCUGAGAUCCCUCGUCACUACCGUUGAUGAUUAGGAACUAAUUUUCUUUCCAUCGUUGUUCCCACUGACUGCAUUCCAAAAUUACAUUCCCAU
This 271-nucleotide non-coding RNA is filed under the name Conticribra weissflogii. The record is from RNAcentral. Lineage: Eukaryota; Bacillariophyta; Thalassiosirophyceae; Thalassiosirales; Thalassiosiraceae.